GGAGACCAGAGGCGGGCCUCUAGUGGAAUAUGAACGAAGAAUUGCUGAGGGUGACCUCUUGGAUGGAGAUGCAUGUCAGGUAGGCACAUUGCAAGAGCUCCAAAGACUUUAUGAUCAGCUCAUUGAAAAAGCUGAAGUCUGCCGGUUAGACAAAUAUGCCUCUUCUGAUAAAGCCAGCAGGAGUAGAUGGUUAUGGUCCCGUCUCUUACCACAGUCGUCAUAUGCUCCUGUCAAAGGAUUAUAUCUUUACGGGGGAGUUGGGACAGGCAAAACUAUGUUAAUGGACCUGUUUUUCGACCAGUUGCCUGGCAAUUGGAGGAAAAAGAGAAUCCAUUUUCACGACUUCAUGCUGAAUGUUCACAGCCGAUUACAGAAGCACAAGGGUGUGCCAGAUCCUCUAGAAGUUGUGGCAGGAGAGAUAUCGGACGAGGCCAUUUUGUUGUGUCUUGAUGAAUUUAUGGUGACUGAUGUGGCUGAUGCACUGAUACUGAAUCGCUUAUUUAAGCAGUUAUUUAUGAACGGCGCAAUUCUUGUUGCUACGUCAAACCGUGCUCCCGAUAACCUUUAUGAACGUGGACUACAGAGGGAUCUUUUCCUUCCUUUUAUAGCUACUUUAAAGGAAAGAUGUGUGGUACGUGAAAUUGGCUCAGCAGUGGACUACAGGAAGUUGACUUCGGCCGAACAAGGGUUCUACUUUAUCGGAAAAGAUAUAUCAAGCGUCAUUAAAAAGCAAUUCCAGAUGCUAGUAGGGGAUGCUCAACCAGUUCCGCAAGAGGUGGAAGUUGUCAUGGGAAGGAAAUUGCAGGUUCCACUGGGUGCUAA
This 822-nucleotide unclassified non-coding RNA is filed under the name Hevea brasiliensis (rubber tree). Lineage: Eukaryota; Viridiplantae; Streptophyta; Magnoliopsida; Malpighiales; Euphorbiaceae. The record is from RNAcentral.